ACGAAACGGUGCUUGCCAAGCGCGUCUUCAAGGUGAAAGUGUCUGCGUUCACCCGGUGAACGCAGCGCAAGCGUUAGGUUCACCCAAAAGUCACGUCCGGGACGCCACAUCCGGUAUGUUUUUUUCACGUCCGUGAUGUCACAUCCGGCCUUUUUGGCGGCAUAAUAUGGCAUAUGGCAGGCUCGGAGUGCACGAAGCGGUGGAUCGCUUAUUUUUCGGGCUUUUGCUUCUCGUAAGUAUACUUCGUCUUUGCGUUUGAUGUGCAUCUACUACGCGUAGCUAAUCUUUCGACUGCAUGAUGCCAUAUAUAGGUGUUCUGUGAUGAUACUUUAUAGCCAGGUUCCUCACGAGCUUUUGUGAUGCAUUGCAGGGACCGCCACACCGGCCAGCCAGUGCUACAGUGUCCUAAUGCAGAGAACGUAUAUUACACGGAACUGCGCUCCUUCAGAGUUAUUUAGAGUCUUUUUCAGAAGCACGUAACAGUAACAUUACUUGGUUAUACUUGGUUACGGUGCUGCUACAUGGCAGAAUAUUUGAAUGGCAGAUGUCCCGAGUUCGGCAUGUAAGUACGUACGUACGCGCGCUUGUUUAGCCUAAAUAAGAGUUUCUAUUGUUCCCCAAUGGAAAUGCACAUUCCUGAUGCACGGUUCAGAUCUGCCGGCUAAGGGCGGUAGUGAAUAAAGUCACCAAAUUGCGGCCUCGUUGCGGUCUCGCAUUGCGGCCUCAUUGCACGGUCGGGAAAAAUUGCUUUAGAACCAAAAUUUCGCUGCGCUGUCAGUAGCCAUUCACUGAUAAGCUUUCUCCGCAGCGUAAUGCUCAGUGCAGGUGUGAUGGGGGUUGUGUGUGCGGUCGGUAUGUGACCGAUAUUCCUGAACGCAGUGUCAUUCAGCGAUGUGCACAGCUGUGGCUGAUUGUAGAAUGUGGGCUGUGACAGGAGUGAUGGGGACCAUGUUCCUGCCUCGGCCAAGGUUGCAGCGAUUUCACAGCUGCAGGGAGCGCCCAGGCAGAACCUAAUCUCGGCCCUAUGCUGCAGCUCCAGCUUCUUGAGACGGGCACGUGGUAGUGCCACGAGUGGGAGGACGUACCGCAGGCGUGAGGUGGCUACUGCAUGGUACAGCCGCAGAGCCCACCUAGUGGUGCAGCUCUGUCCUCGGGCAACAAGCUGGGAGACUGCCUUGUGGACCCGGAGGACCUGGACAUGCAGGGUCUUGACAGCAGGCAGCCAGGUCAGCCGGUGAUGAACGUGUAGCCCCGGGUACGUCACUGCCAGGCUUCAAGGUCGCCUUCCAGUUGCAGCUGUGCAACGGGCGAUUGCUCUUGGGUGGAGCAGCAUGGCCUCGGUCUUCCUUGCCGAGAUGGCAAGGCCAAUGCAGCUCAUGUAAGCAGCGGCGGUGUCGAGGGCUCUUUGCAGAGCCGAGCGCGCACUGCUGUGGCUGUGUGGUGGAUUUCGCACACAUAGGGCGAUGUGGUCCGCGUUGAUGGAGGUAUUCACGUGGUUGUGGGGGUCAGUCUGCAGGACAGCAGGCAGUCGGGCCAGGUUGAACAGGAAAGGGCUCACCACUGAUCCUUGUGGGACGCCCUCUACCAAAUAGGUCCAGGGCCUGCUGAACGACUGGAUAGGGCAGGCCGUCAAAGGCCCCCUUCAUGCCGAUAAGCACCAGGAGCACGGCGUCACCGCAGGCCUUGGCCUCUUCCAGCGUGGAGACCACGUCCACGAUGGAGUCCGCACUGCAUCAGCUCCGCCGGAACCCUAUCUGCUCAUCGGCCUGAAAGCAAUGGCCUCCAUCAGCUUGCAAGCAGCAGAGGUGGCCAAAGAACGUAAUCGGAAGAGGUGACGAGACGAAUGCAUUCUUCGUGGUUAGGAAGAGAAUUGCCAGUGGCAUCAUCCAGUUGUGUGAGGCGCUGACGACAAGAGAUAGAAGCAAACGCCAAAGAUAAGAAGUCCCACCCCAAGAUGAGUUCAUGGGUCACUCACGAAAUACCGCAAAAACAAUGUGGUGAAGAAUUUAGUCUAUGGACACACGAACAGGACACGGUGCGAUUGGACGAAUAAUAACCUUGGCCGCUGCACAAAGAGAAAGGCCGGAGUAAGGCAAUUCUUGUGUUUUAUAGAGUCCCAAACAGUCACAUGGCAAUAAUCGCCAAGCGUCUUGUAACAUGGAGCCACCUCAGAAUUGCGCCAAACAAAGAUGAUGGAUGCAGCCAGUCUUGCCAGAUAACUACAUUUUGACUAUUCUGUAUUGUUUGCAUUUUUUGUGUAAAAGGAAUUGUCGCAGAGAGUUUUAUCUUCAGUGGCCUUCAGUUGACGUCAUCUGCUACAACUAGCACAUAAGUUAACUCCAUAGCACCACUAGGAUGGAGACAUUGUGUCGUGGGGUGCUUCCUUAAAAGUGGACAAGAAGAUUCUAAAGGAAAAGUGUGAGAUGGUCACAGUAAUAACCAAGGCAUUUGGCAUGGGAAUGACCCAGCUAUGAAAGUAUUAUCAGAUGUGGACAAGCAUAUAAUACUAAAUGGCGCCUUGCACGAGUCCCAAGUGUCAAAUGUAAUGAGUAUUGUGCAUUGAAAGGGCCAAAAAUGUUUUGUACAUGCAAGGGAACACUAUGGGCAUUUGAUAACAGUUGCUUAGAUGUACUACAUUAACAGGAACCAAACGAACUCCCUUAGACAUAAGCAUGCAGCAAAUUCAAGGACUAGAUGAAGCUUCAAAGAAGUAACUGCAUUUCAUGUAGGAUAGGUGUGAAUGACCUUUGUGCACGAGAUCAGUGACAAAAACACUAAAUGAAUGCAGUACAGUGUCUGUAUCAUAUCUUGUGCAGACCAAACUAGCCUGGAGUUUCAGCGUUCCUUGUCAGUUCAUUUAAAUAGGCACUACAUUGUUCAAAGUGCAAUAUUGUUCUACAAAACAUAAUAUGCAAGAUGUAGCAUGCUAACCCUCGUGGCUCAACAACUACUGAACCGAAACCUCAAUGAGCAGUGAAGCUUCCUUGUAAUUUUCAUCGUAACCAUACUUUCGCUCUUGAAAGUGAACCUCUUUAGUGAAUUUGCUUGUGUAUUAAUUUUUCUUUAGGCAAGUAUUUUUUAUACAUGUUAAUGUCUCAAUCCUGCUUUUUCUUUCCGGGGCUAAAACAAAAUGCCUCUUAUUUCACUUUGAUCUUUUGACCUAGGAAGCCAUCAUCUGGUGCUGUGUACAGCAAGCACAUGCUUCGGGCAAGGAGGGAGCCAGCACCAUAUCUACAUCAGCAAGAACCUCGGUGCUCAAAAUAAACAUUUUCUGUGCAAAUACCUGUCUUUUUAUACUUCCAGCAUGAAUUAAUAAGUUUCUUUUGCCUUCACAUGCAGGAAGGUUUAUAGGAAUAAAUAGUGACUGUUGAAUGCCCAGGAAAAGCCUUGAAGCCAUUCUACUUGUACAGUGAUAAAGUACAUGUGUACUUGAACUUGAUAGUACAGAAACGAAAGGCAAAGUAACAGGCAAAAUGCUCGGGGCAGCAGUCGUAUAAAUGGUAGAUGAACACAGCUAAUUGUGCUGUCCAGUUUCAUUCAGUUUGACCAAAUGUUGCAAGAAUUGCCUUCAAUAUGAAUCAUUCAGUUUAGCCAGCUAAAGUCGAACUCGUACAAACUUUGGAAUGUCUGCUGGGAAUUUUAGCAUAAAUGGUAUGUGUGCAUCCUUCAGCAGCACCACAAGCCCAGUAAGGUUUUUGCGUUACUGUCCCCCCUCCCUUGGGGUUAUUGCAGUGUCUACUUCAAGUGCUUGAGGGUAUAAUGGAAAAUGACUCCAUUCUCCAAUGAGAAGGCUAUAUAAAUAUGCAGGACAAGAGCUUGUAGGCCUGGUUAUAAGCAUGAAUUAGAUAUGUAUAGACCAAAGGCAAUAUGAAUACAAUAUGUUAAAUUGCAUCCAUAUGUGGGAACUGCCCACAUCAAAGGAAAGAAAGUGCAAUACUUGCAACCUACCAACAUAAACAUCAGUCUAGGGAAGGAUUCUGUAAGGAUCCACUAAGUGGACUGUUUCAGCACACACUGAUUAGGUAGAGCUAUAAGCUGGUAGAGCAAGUGGCAAUCAUCACCAUGGGCUCUCGUGCUCUAUUCAUUCAGCGUGUACUGGAAUGGACAGUCCACUUAGUCAACACUUACAGACUAGCCCCCUAGGGCUGUGGAAGCACGCAGUAUAUUAAGCUUAAGUCUGGAGUGCUACCUUCUGCUUAUGUGGCAAGUCCUCCUGUUUACCUGUUCCUUUCAACUGAGAGCUGAGCACUGCCUAGGUUAAGUCAGAAAAAGCAACCAGCGUCCAUAGAAUUCAAACUAUUACUAUUUGCCCUAUAUAAGGGGACAGUGAAGCCUAAAAUGACACUUGACUUGGGCCAUAUUUUUCGCGAUAUGCCCGAGAAUAUUGGGAUUUCCCAUCAAUUUUACCCUUCCUACAUCACAUAGUGAACAACCUGAAAACUUAACACUGUUGCGCAGAGCGAUGAAGGGUCAGGAUUUGAGCGAGAAAACAACACAUGACACCUGAGCGCAAACUAUGAACUGGUUUAUUUUUCUGCAAGUGAAGCGUACAUAAAGCCUACACGCAUGCACAGGAGUCCUCUUCCCGGUCUACCUACACCCUCUAUUGUCAGUGAUUAUGCUAAUCUCUUUAUUGCUGAGUGAAAUAGACGGCGGGCUGACACAUGAGCCCUGUGGGUCCACCUUGAGGUUGUAUGCUUCCACGACUUGUCUUUUCCUUUGGUUCCUACUUUUCAGCAGAAUCAUUGCCUUGUGAUAAUCACCAGUUGAUAGUUUGUGCUCAGGUGUCUAUUGUUUUCUCGCUCAAGUCCUGUCCCUUCGUCACUCCGCACAACAGUGUUAAGUAUGUUGAACCAACUAGCACACUGCACAAUUUUCCUGAUCUUGAAAACAAUUGUAAACUAAAGUCCGUGAGAAACAAAGUGUUCUGUCAUGACAUACAGAUUUAUGCAUGAUCACUUUGCUAUAUAAAAAUACAAUUUUAGCCAAUGUUAACGAAGAGCUUCACUUCUGGAGUUCACUUAAAUAAUGUCUGUGAUGCAUUGUGACAGUACGAGGUCCUGGAGAUCCUACUGUGGAGAUAUGUCAACAUUGAGCCUAUUCCUGUUUAAUGUAUGGAUAGAUGCCUUCACGAAGAGUUGGAGAAACUGCACAAUACAAUGUUUUAUAUCACAUGUAAUAAUUAUGCUGUGAUAAAGUGUACACGCUGAGCUUAAUGUUUUAGAAAAGCUCAAGAAAAGGCUCCAGAAUAGGUAUGAUGGAUAGGCAACCUUUUAUUUGGCUCUCUUCAUAGUGAAAUCUAGACGCAUCACCUCAGCCACACUUAGUAAAAUCUGUGGGCUCGUACUGCCCAUGCCUUUACUGCACAAGUUGCCUUGGUGCUCCCAGUCUUGACAGGUAACACUUAAGCACACUCUCAUGCACGUGUUUGUUCCAAAGCUACAGCUGCUAACUAAAGUAACUCCCACAUGCGAUUCUGUAACUCUAGACCUAACUGCAAAAACGCAUGCAGUACUACGAGUUUGGCAUGGAGUCCACAUGACAUGUGCACAACUUCAAAUUUCGUAUAGGCAACAGAUAACUGGUAACCUGUUAGAGUAACAAAAUGGAUGCCAAGGAAAAUUCACCCAAAGCCUUAGGCAGGAAAAUGAGGUGUUGUGAUGAGAUAAAUAGCAAUCACAUUUGAUCGACUGACUAAAAGCUGGCAGGGGUAUUGCAUUUGACAUGAUUGAAAUGAGCUGCAGCAUGGCAUGGUAACUGUGGCAGCCUUUACAAUGCCGCGCUCUCUGAAUUACACUUAUGUGCAUCCAUAUGCUGCAGCGACCAACUGUUUUUAUUCAAGAAAGCCAGGUUUGUGGUUCAGCACACAUCAUACGCUGGCAAACUCACUGAUGAGUCAACUCCCUGAGAUCAUCCCAUGAGUCUGAGUGAGCCCAGCUGAGCAGUAUUUUGGCGAGUUUGAGCCCGAGUGAGCUCGGCUGAGUAGUAUAUUCUUAUGAGUUCAAGUGAGCAGCUAAUUAUAAUUUUGGCGAGUCUAAAUAGUGAGUUCCGAUUAUUUUGCCAACAUAUAUAUGGUCCGUGUACUUUCGAAAUUCAGCUACGACACUUGCGCAUAGGUUGGAAAUUAAGCUUCUCGCCAAGUGACUACUGCAUAAAUGAUCAUAGAGCUAGCGAAGAACGAUACGCCUUAAUGAUGCAGCGUGCCGCGCGGGAUCCAUGUGUGCAGCGUGCCAGUGGAUGGGUGCGUGUUUGGGAAAUUAGGGGGUUUCGACCCAUCCACAGAUAAUUUACAUAAUACCUUUCUCCAUAGUGUAUUAUUGCGAUAGCAAUUUUUGGACACCCUAAGCGAAUUUUCGCCAUCGCCCUGAUGUUUGGUUUAAAGUCCAAGUGUGACAAAAAUUAUAGUGCUCCGUUGCAUCCCACAUGCUGGGGUUAAUUGCGAAUGAAAGGGUGCGAUUGUGAGCCGAGAAGGAUGGCAGCUUUAUGCGCGCUGUCCACGUCCCGUGAUCAAGUGCGCGCUAGGGUCAGAGAGCGCGCGACGUCUCUUGCCUGGCCGUGCCCGUGCAUAUGGCUGUCCGCGCGCAGCAGAGUGCAUAUACACGGCCCGCGCGUGCCACAUUUUUUAAAAGUAAUUUGCGGCCGGUGUAAAGGCGGCAAGCCGACGUGGCUGCUGGUUUCACGAGUGUCAAUUGGAAGUAGCGAUAUCUAAGUUUCGGGCGAAACUUAGAGAACAGUGACUUCCUUAGAGGGGCCAAAAUUUUGGGGCGCAUGAGCGGCACGUAUAGUAGAAUGCAGUGUUCCAUUGUAAAAAAAAAAAAAAAUUGAUGUAACAAAAUAGAGUGCUGAGUGUUACGUCUUUGUUACAUCAAGGUUCAACAAAAAUUAAGCGCUGGAAAUCAGCGCUGGACGCACAUGCAACUCCUUACUCCACACUGAAAACAUUUGAGAAAACAUUUUUUUUAAAUACUUUGUACAUUUGUAUAAAUACCUGCGGAUAUUCCUCUGGUUUAGCCUAAUUAUGUGCUGCCUACUUAACUUACUGACGCAGCAUACGUAUCAUUGCGAAAUUUAUAAUUUUUUGCUUUUAGAAAAAGCAUCGAGUUAUUGAAUUUUGCGAACAGAAAAAAAAUUGCAACUUCCAAUAUAGCGCGCUUCCUAGGCUAUUAAAUAGCUACAAUGUUCAAGGAACGUACUGUUUCCAUGAGUGGUUUACUCAUGCAGUAAGAUGUACUGCUCCUACACCUUGUAAUAAAAAGCAUAUGCAUCGACACAUAGCAGCUGAUAUUCUUGCUUAUUUUCUCAUCACAGAGGUAGAUGGGGCACAUGAACCAAUAUGCUCACACAAAUCAACGUGACCAACUACUGCGGAGACAUGGCAACGAAUUCUUUGUUUACCUUGUACACCACAAGUGCGAGGUUUGCGCAUUAAUUUGACUUCAUGAAACCCUAUUUAUACUACAGGCUUUACGGCAAUGCUUGCAUGCAGUGCGGUGAAGCGCUCGACGAAACUGCACAUAUUAUAUGAUUUGUUUGAUAUUAACUCGAGAUGCAAACGUUUGUGCAGGCAGGCAAGCAAUGUUUCCAUUCACGCAGCGCACCAAAAUAGCGAGGUAUAUGCAUUGAUCUGGUUUCAUGACAUCGUACUUUUGCCACUAGCUUUACGGCAGUGCUUGUGUAUAGUGCUGCGAAGCACGACGGAACUGCACGUUAUUAUACGGUGUGCUUGAAAUCCACUCGAGAUGCAAACGUUUGUGCAGGCAGGAAACGAAUGAUUUAAUUCACGUAGCACAACACGAGAGCGCGCUCUAUGCAGUCCUUUGAUUGAAUAAAACUCUAUUUCUGCCACAGGCUUCACAGCAAUGCUUGUGUAGAGGGCUGUGAAGCUCGACGCAGCUGUAACAACAUCCCACAGUACACCCGAUUUUUACCGAGUUUGUUUUAAAGGGCCCCUCACAGGCUACAUAACAAAUUUUGGUUAUACACUGAAAGUUGUUACGUGCCCUCUAAGAAGUGUUCUACCGCAAGCAUUUUUCAAAUUGGUUCAUUAACAGCAGAUAGAGAAUGAUUGAAGUGCCGCGAACGCAUGAUUUCAGGAGGCGAGCGUCGCCGCCUAUAUAAACACUCUCUCGACAUUCCCCGUUUCGCCUGUGUAAGCAAAUUUCCUUCACUGCGUUCUCCCAUACCGGAGCCGAGGGGUCGCGGCGGGUAUACCCUGCCGUCUUCUUUUUUUCACCGUCACCGGCACACUUCCGGUGACGGUGUCGCGCGAGCUGUUGCGCUUGUCUCGUUUCCUGUAGCGGACGAUAGUGCGCGCUCUACACGAGAACACGUGAUUAGCGGUAUAAGUCAGUGCCCCAGCACUGAGGCAAACGCGAGAGGAUAAAAGAGCAUUCAUGAUCGCAAUGCUGGAACACAUGUAGACAAUGACGUAUAGUUUCGUUCUCUGCGCGCGUGCAAACGUCGGGAAAAGGAGACGAAACGGAAAUUCAUCUCUCUUGCUACAGUGCGAAGUAAAACAAAAGCACCCAGACAUUCGGGUUGUAUUUUUCAUUAUUUCUCUAAACUUUAAUUAGUUCACUGCAGCAACAGAUUCAACAAAUAACUGAUGCUGCCUUGAAUCUAAGUCACGUGUCACUCUGAGUGCCAUCACAGCACAGCCUGUGCUCCUAUGCAGCAGCAAAGUUACGGGCAUUCAUCUGCUUGCUGCUGCGAUAACAUUAUGACACUUUAACUCAGAGGUACGAUUUUUGUUGUGUGAGAUUAUAGAUAGCCAGUAGACUACUUGUCUGAUGUUAAAUGCUAUGACCCACUGGCAAUCCACGAUGCACUCAACGAAAACGUUUUUAUGCUGUGUGUGGCGUGACUCACCAGUGACCCACACGCAAGAAUUCUUGCUCUUGUGUUGCCAUCUGAGGUUUGAAAUUGCAACUAAUAUAUAUUUUUAUUGCAUUGGACAUGGGGUGGCAUGUUUGUUUCGGAGAGUGGAGUGGCGGCGCAUUUCUCAGUUGGGUUUCUUGCAAACUUUCGCAGCAGUCUUUGAAAUACGUGCCAUUGGAAUAAGUACCUGCAUUUUUCUUGCUACUCCCAAACUUUUCAGCGUGUCUAAUAGAUAGAUCCUCAUGCCCCUUACGGAUGAAAAAAAAAAGCACAAUGCAGAGGAAACAAAUAAACUUAGUUUUGGGCCAGAAGAAUGCACCAGCAACUUCGCGAUCACCAGCGGAUGAGUCAAGUGCUUCAGUGUCAGAUGUUCAGCAGUGGACAGUGAAAUCAGUGACAAAGAUAGUGUUUACGAACCAUCACAGACCUCAGCCAGCAUGUCGAAUGGAGAGUCAGACCUGACUGAUGAUUCUGAGGUGAAUGAUUCAGGAUACAAUGCUCUCAUUUCUCUCAGCCCAUCUCUAGAGAAAUGGACACCGGCAACAACCACUUCGCCUAGUGUGACACCACACGUACUCUAGGCCGCCCACUAUCAUUCAGUUGCCAUCUAGCCGUUAUGCCCCAUCUUUAUGUUCACUGUUUAUUACGGAUGACAUUUGGCAAAUGAUGGUCAAUGAAACAAACAGGUUCACACAAGUGUUGAAGUCAACUACUCCUAAAUCUAAAUCACGCUUGAAAAAUUGGACGGAAACCAAUGCCAAAGAAAUUAAAGCAUUUAUUCGAAUACUGAUUUGUAUUGGUCUCCUCCGUCUUCCUACUCCCAAAUCUAAAUCAAAGUUGAAAAAUUGGAUGGAAACCAAUCUCCAACAAACGAAAGCAUUUGUUGGAAUACCAAUUUGUAUUAAUCUCGUCCAUCUUCCUAUCCGAGUCACUACUGGGCAAAAAGUAACCUGUAUGGUGUUGAACUCAUUCAUCAAAAUAUGAGCCGUGACCGCCUUCUCCCUACUUUUGAGGUUCCGGCAUUUUGCGGACAAUUAACUGGUUGCAGAGUUGCAGGAUCAUGUCUUUAAGAUCCAUCCUCUGGUAGAGAAAUUGAACCAAAAUUUUUGCCACUGUGCUUGAGCCAGGAAAGGAGGUUGUGAUAGAUGAAACAAUAGUGCCAUGGUGUGGCAGACUUUCGUUCUUACAGAGUCAGGCUGUUCAAGGCAUGUACCAAAGACGGUUACAGGCUAAAGGUUGAUGUAUAUGCCGGAAAGUGUGACUGAACAAUUGGCAUCGGACAUGCCGAAGAUGUAUGCUUGAAACUCCUGCAAAAUUACAAGGAAGUUGUGUGCCCGCUGUCCGUAGACAACUUCUACAUGAGCUUGCCGCUCACUUUUCGCCUUCUAAAGGAAGACACUUUCAUUCGUGGCACAGUUCGCUCAGUGAGGAAAGGGCUGCCAAAAGAUCUCACUGAAGUAAAGGUUGCAAAUGGCAGUGUUACCGAACUUCAGUCCAAAAAUGGAGUGAAGGCACUGAAGUGGAUGGACAAGAGGCCUGUUCUGAUACUCACAUCUGUCGCCAAAUAUGAAGCAACUUUGGUGGACAGUGGGAAGAAAACAAGGGACGGUGCACCAAUCAUGAAACAUCAGGCCGGUCUCGAUUACAAUGCAGCAAAAAAGGGCGUCGACUAUAGUGACCAAAUGACGUUAUACCACAACUGCCUUAGAAAAGGACUCAAGUGGUACAGAAAGGUAGCUGUUGAGUUGCUUGUUGGAUGUGUCAUCAUAAAUGCGUGGAACAUUCGUGGCAUGCUUGAAGGAAACUCUACGCCAAUUAUAAAAUUUCAAGAUGAACUGGCUCAUUCACUGUUCGGCCCUCGUCAAGACAACAUCGAAGAAACUCGUGGGAGAAGUGUCCACAUGCUAAGAAAAACUGGCACAUCGGCACACGACACUCAGUGGCUCUGCACUGGCUGCUAUGCGGCCAACAGUACCAGCAGUAGCCCAAACACUAUGGAGAGAGUGAGAAAAGUGACCACUUUCUGUGAAUAACGCCCCGGCAAGCCAUUCAUCUGUUUGUUGUGCUUUAAUUCUAAGCACAAGUAACCUGAGAAGCAAGCUAGCUUCAACUGUAAAAUGAGUAGGAUGAAAACUUCAAGACAUGGCUAAUGUUCAUACUAAAUUUUAGCCUUUCUCUAACUAAUAAAUAUUUCUAACACAGGAA
This is a non-coding RNA of Dermacentor albipictus, 11082 nucleotides long. Lineage: Eukaryota; Metazoa; Arthropoda; Arachnida; Ixodida; Ixodidae. The record is from RefSeq and is a predicted model, not a curated record.